Molecule: ribosomal RNA, 275 nt
Filed under: uncultured prokaryote
Description: partial 16S ribosomal RNA
Rfam family: Bacterial small subunit ribosomal RNA
Source: RNAcentral
UACGUAGGGGCUAGCGUUAUCCAGAAUUACUGGGCGUAAAGGGUGCGUAGGUGGUUUCUUAAGUCAGAGGUGAAAGGCUACGGCUCAACCGUAGUAAGCCUUUGAAACUGGGAAACUUGAGUGCAGGAGAGGAGAGUGGAAUUCCUAGUGUAGCGGUGAAAUGCGUAGAUAUUAGGAGGAACACCAGUUGCGAAGGCGGCUCUCUGGACUGUAACUGACACUGAGGCACGAAAGCGUGGGGAGCAAACAGGAUUAGAUACCCUGGUAGUCCCUGA